GUGGGGCAGGUCAGAAUUGCGGGCCAGAAAGCCUGGGCUGGCCAGCAGAGGGUGAGAGGCUCAGCUGGGCCUCCCAGGCCUGCUCAGAUCCCUCCCUGCCUGCCCUCCAAGCCAGUCUGAGCAGCCUGGCCACCCCUCCCUGGCUCCUAGAAAUCCCCAGGGGGCGGGAAGCGUGGCCAACAGGGCCCUGAGCUCAGCCUCACCCCUCCCUGGAAGGCAGCGAUCAUGAGACUUUGGAGAAACCCAAAUUAGCCACUCUCCAGGCGAGAGUUUCCUCAUGAAUGUGGUAUCUGUCACAUCCUGCAGUACAGACAAGCCAGGCCUUUCAGACAGCUGUUGCAGCCUCCUCCAGAGCUGAGCUGGGUCCAGGAGAUGUGGAAAAGCUGGUGCUCUGAGAUCUCUGGACCGAGGUAAGUCCCUGCGGGCCCCUCAGCCUCAUCGGACGGUCCUUGAUUGCUGCUCGGCCCUGAGAGCUCCUUGUAAGGAGAGCCCCCACCCACCUUAUGCUGGGAGGAUCUCUUUCAUCUUCCAGCCCUUGAAAGUGCUUAAAACCCUGCUGGAGCAUUGUACCGGAUGGGUCUGGUGCUGAACCUGUCUGUGCAUCUGCUGGUGAGAAACAAAUACAAACACAACUUCUGCGCUGUCCACGCAAAGUGGCCCCAGAGACUCCAUUUUCGUCAGAGCUCAGCAGGACUGCUCUGGGGACAUCUUCUCCAGUGGAGUCUCAGCGUUCGCCCGUCCUACCAACCUGGAAAGCCUCCCACUGGGACCCUGGGAGGUUCCCG
Molecule: long non-coding RNA, 785 nt
Filed under: Phascolarctos cinereus (koala)
Lineage: Eukaryota; Metazoa; Chordata; Mammalia; Diprotodontia; Phascolarctidae
Description: lncRNA (ENSPCIG00000032066.1)
Source: RNAcentral